RNAcentral lists this ribosomal RNA (496 nucleotides) under uncultured bacterium. RNAcentral's name for it is "partial 16S ribosomal RNA". It matches the Rfam family "Bacterial small subunit ribosomal RNA", at positions 28 to 506 of the family's 1533-position model. The record is from RNAcentral.
GAUGAACGCUGGCGGCGUGCCUAAUACAUGCAAGUCGAGCGAACAGACGAGGAGCUUGCUCCUCUGACGUUAGCGGCGGACGGGUGAGUAACACGUGGAUAACCUACCUAUAAGACUGGGAUAACUUCGGGAAACCGGAGCUAAUACCGGAUAAUAUAUUGAACCGCAUGGUUCAAUAGUGAAAGACGGUUUUGCUGCCACUUAUAGAUGGAUCCGCGCCGCAUUAGCUAGUUGGUAAGGUAACGGCUUACCAAGGCGACGAUGCGUAGCCGACCUGAGAGGGUGAUCGGCCACACUGGAACUGAGACACGGUCCAGACUCCUACGGGAGGCAGCAGUAGGGAAUCUUCCGCAAUGGGCGAAAGCCUGACGGAGCAACGCCGCGUGAGUGAUGAAGGUCUUCGGAUCGUAAAACUCUGUUAUUAGGGAAGAACAAAUGUGUAAGUAACUAUGCACGUCUUGACGGUACCUAAUCAGAAAGCCACGGCUAACUACGU